CUAUACCAUGCAGUCGAGCGAACAGAGAGGAGCUUGCUCCUUUGACGUUAGCGGCGGACGGGUGAGUAACACGUGGGCAACCUACCUUAUAGUUUGGGAUAACUCCGGGAAACCGGGGCUAAUACCGAAUAAUCUAUUUCACUUCAUGGUGAAAUACUGAAAGACGGCUUCUCCUUGUCCCUUUAAAAGGGGCCCGCGGCGCAUUACCUAGUUGGGGAGGUAACGGCUCACCAAGGCGACAAUCCGUACCCAACCUGAAAGGGGGAUCGGCCCCCCUGGGACUGAAACCCGGCCCAAACUCCUACGGGAGGCAGCAUUAGGGAACCUUCCACAAGGGGCAAAAGCCUGAUGAACCACCGCCGCGUGAUUGAAAAAGGUUUUCGGAUCGUAAAAUUCUGUUGUAAGGAAAAAACAAUUCCAGUAUUAACUGGUUGUCCUUUGACGGUCCUUUAUUGAAAGCCCCGGCUACUACGUGCCACAACCGCGGUAAUACGUAAGGUGCAAGCGUUGUCCGGAAUAUUGGGCGUAAAGCGCGCGCAGCGGUCCUUUAAGUCUGAUGUGAAAGCCCACGGCUCAACCGUGGAGGGUCAUUGGAAACUGGGGGACUUGAGUGCAGAAGAGAAAGUGGAAUUCCAGUGUAGCGUGAAAUGCGUGAGAUUUGGAGAACACAGUGCGAGGCGACUUCUGUCUGUACUGACCUGAGGCGCGAAGCGUGGG
Molecule: ribosomal RNA, 717 nt
Filed under: Lysinibacillus sphaericus
Lineage: Bacteria; Bacillati; Bacillota; Bacilli; Caryophanales; Bacillaceae
Description: bacterial SSU rRNA
Rfam family: Bacterial small subunit ribosomal RNA
Source: RNAcentral